UUCCCCCCCUCAUGUUGUUAGGCAGUCGCUAGGGUGUUUGUCCCCUCAUGUUGUUAGGCAGUCGCUAGGGUGUUUGUCCCCUCAUGUUGUUAGGCAGUCGCUAGGGUGUUCCGGAUGUUUUUCCCCCCUCAUGUCGUUAGGCAGUCGCUAGGGUGUUCCAGGUGUUUUUCCCCCUUAUGUUGUUAGGCAGUUGCUAGGGUGUUCCAGUUUUUUUGGUUUGUUUUUAUACCAUGUAGUUAGGCAGUCGCUAGGGUAUUCCGGGUGUUUGCUUACCAUGUUGUUAGGCAGUUGCUAGGGUGUUCCAGGUGUUUUUCCCCCCUCAUGUUGUUAGGCAGUCGCUAGGGUGUUUGUCCCCUCAUGUUGUUAGGCAGUCGCUAGGGUGUUCCGGAUGUUUUUCCCCCCUCAUGUCGUUAGGCAGUCGCUAGGGUGUUCCAGGUGUUUUUCCCCCCUCAUGUUGUUAGGCAGUCGCUAGGGUGUUCCAGUUUUUUUGGUUUGUUUUUAUACCAUGUAGUUAGGCAGUCGCUAGGGUAUUCCGGGUGUUUGCUUACCAUGUUGUUAGGCAGUUGCUAGGGUGUUCCGGGUGUUUGUUUACCAUGUUGUUAGUCAGUUGCCAGCGUGUUCCGGGUGUUCUUUCCCCUCAUGUUGUUAGGCAGUCGCUAGGGUGUUCCGGGUGUUUUUUUGUUUGUUUUUUUACCAUGUUGUUAGGCAGUCGCUGGUGUGGACAAUGGACAAUUUUUUUUUUUUUUUUACCAUGCCGUUAGGCGGUUGUAAGUGUGUUCAGGGUGUUUCUUUUACUAUGUUGUUAGGCAGUUACUAGGGUGU
Cyprinus carpio carpio is the source of this 822-nucleotide long non-coding RNA. The record is from Ensembl. NCBI's taxonomy places the organism in Eukaryota, Metazoa, Chordata, Actinopteri, Cypriniformes, Cyprinidae.